AUUGAACGCUGGCGGCAGGCCUAACACAUGCAAGUCGGACGGUAGCACAGAGAGCUUGCUCUCGGGUGACGAGUGGCGGACGGGUGAGUAAUGUCUGGGGAUCUGCCCGAUAGAGGGGGAUAACACUGGAAACGGUGGCUAAUACCGCAUAACGUCGCAAGACCAAAGAGGGGGACCUUCGGGCCUCUCACUAUCGGAUGAACCCAGAUGGGAUUAGCUAGUAGGCGGGGUAACGGCCCACCUAGGCGACGAUCCCUAGCUGGUCUGAGAGGAUGACCAGCCACACUGGAACUGAGACACGGUCCAGACUCCUACGGGAGGCAGCAGUGGGGAAUAUUGCACAAUGGGCGCAAGCCUGAUGCAGCCAUGCCGCGUGUAUGAAGAAGGCCUUCGGGUUGUAAAGUACUUUCAGCGGGGAGGAAGGCGAUGUGGUUAAUAACCGCGUCGAUUGUCGUUACCCGCAGAAGAAGCACCGGCUAACUCCGUGCCAGCCGCCGCCGUAA
RNAcentral lists this ribosomal RNA (503 nucleotides) under uncultured bacterium. RNAcentral's name for it is "partial 16S ribosomal RNA". It matches the Rfam family "Bacterial small subunit ribosomal RNA", at positions 29 to 523 of the family's 1533-position model. The record is from RNAcentral.